UACGUAGGGUGCAAGCGUUAUCCGGAAUCACUGGGCGUAAAGCGUGCGUAGGUGGAUGUUUAAGUGAGAUGUUAAAUCGUGUGGCUCAACCAUAUCGAUGCAUCUCAUACUGGGCAUCUAGAGGACAGCAGAGGCAAGUGGAAUUGGUAGUGUAGCAGUGAAAUGCGUAGAUAUUACCAGGAACACCAAUGGCGAAGGCAGCUUGCUGGGCUACUCCUGACACUGAGGUACGAAAGCGUGGGGAGCGAACAGG
Molecule: ribosomal RNA, 253 nt
Filed under: uncultured bacterium
Lineage: Bacteria
Description: partial 16S ribosomal RNA
Rfam family: Bacterial small subunit ribosomal RNA
Source: RNAcentral